Molecule: transfer RNA, 78 nt
Filed under: Ignavibacteria bacterium
Lineage: Bacteria; Pseudomonadati; Ignavibacteriota; Ignavibacteria
Description: tRNA-Pro
Rfam family: tRNA
About the family: Transfer RNA (tRNA) molecules are approximately 80 nucleotides in length. Their secondary structure includes four short double-helical elements and three loops (D, anti-codon, and T loops).
Source: RNAcentral
CGGGGUGUAGCUCAGCCCGGCUAGAGCACUACGUUCGGGACGUAGGGGCCGGAGGUUCAAAUCCUCUCACCCCGACAA